AGUCGAGGGGUAUAGUUCUUCGGAUCUAGAGACCGGCGCACGGGUGCGUAACGCGUAUGCAAUCUACCUUUCACAGAGGGAUAGCCCAGAGAAAUUUGGAUUAAUACCUCAUAGUAUUAUGAAAUGGCAUCAUUUUAUAAUUAAAGUCACAACGGUGAAAGAUGAGCAUGCGUCCCAUUAGCUUGUUGGUAAGGUAACGGCUUACCAAGGCUACGAUGGGUAGGGGUCCUGAGAGGGAGAUCCCCCACACUGGUACUGAGACACGGACCAGACUCCUACGGGAGGCAGCAGUGAGGAAUAUUGGUCAAUGGACGCAAGUCUGAACCAGCCAUGCCGCGUGCAGGAUGACGGUCCUAUGGAUUGUAAACUGCUUUUGCACAGGAAGAAACAACGCUACGUGUAGUGUCUUGACGGUACUGUGAGAAUAAGGAUCGGCUAACUCCGUGCCAGCAGCCGCGGUAAUACGGAGGAUCCAAGCGUUAUCCGGAAUCAUUGGGUUUAAAGGGUCCGUAGGCGGUUUAGUAAGUCAGUGGUGAAAGCCCAUCGCUCAACGGUGGAACGGCCAUUGAUACUGCUAGACUUGAAUUAUAAGGAAGUAACUAGAAUAUGUAGUGUAGCGGUGAAAUGCUUAGAGAUUACAUGGAAUACCAAUUGCGAAGGCAGGUUACUACUUAUGGAU
This 679-nucleotide ribosomal RNA is filed under the name Flavobacterium sp. RNAcentral's name for it is "bacterial SSU rRNA". It matches the Rfam family "Bacterial small subunit ribosomal RNA", at positions 60 to 740 of the family's 1533-position model. Lineage: Bacteria; Pseudomonadati; Bacteroidota; Flavobacteriia; Flavobacteriales; Flavobacteriaceae. The record is from RNAcentral.